ACGUACUGGAGUAGUAUUCAUCGGUUAGUUGUCCAUCGACGUAAGGUAUAGAAAGGAACCGUGAUAAUUCCUAGCUAAUGGGGGAGCCCGGAGAAGGAGCUUCGUUGGGAUCAGCUAGGGCGCCCAUGGACCCUCCCGCAGACCUUGUUGAAGCUGAGGAGUCGGAUCCGGUUGCCGAAGUUACCGCAUCAUCAUCAUCAGAAUCGGAAGAAGAGAAGGUAUGUAUGAUUUGUUCAUCGAAUUAUGAAAAUAUAAGCCAUCAGGAAAGGCAAGCCGGACCUCUUUUGUUCAGUGGUUCCAGAGAACCAGUUUCUGACCAUGGCCUAGUGCACGGAUCGUGUUAGGCUCAUAGUGGACAGAUCCAACCGCGUCGUGCGAA
Triticum aestivum (bread wheat) is the source of this 379-nucleotide long non-coding RNA. RefSeq lists it as uncharacterized. The record is from RefSeq and is a predicted model, not a curated record. The transcript is spliced from 3 exons. Lineage: Eukaryota; Viridiplantae; Streptophyta; Magnoliopsida; Poales; Poaceae.